GGAUGUGAGGGCGAUCUGACUGUGACGUCUGUCACCCCAUUGAUCAUUAGGGUUGAUUCAGUUGAUCUGGCUGGCUAGGCAGGUGUCUUCUUCCUCCUUCACCGCUCCCUGUGCAUCCCAAAGCUGCGUGGUCAGUUGAAGAGGAUCCUUCUUUGGUUAAGGGAAUAUGAGUAGCUGUGCCCCACUGCUAGAACCUCCAGACAAGCUCUCAAGUAGCCUUUGUAGGAGAACGUAGGGUGGUCAGGCUUCCAAGAGACACAUACAAAUGAGGCACUGCAUUGUAGCAGUCUGCCUUUCUUU
Unclassified non-coding RNA from Ursus americanus (American black bear), 300 nucleotides. Its record names the gene 7SK. It matches the Rfam family "7SK RNA". Rfam says of the family: 7SK was discovered as an abundant small nuclear RNA in the mid-70s but a possible function has only recently been suggested. Two independent studies have found that 7SK RNA binds the CDK9/cyclin T complex (known as elongation factor P-TEFb). The record is from Ensembl. NCBI's taxonomy places the organism in Eukaryota, Metazoa, Chordata, Mammalia, Carnivora, Ursidae.